UGCCAGCCGCCGCGGUAAUACGGAGGGUGCAAGCGUUGUUCGGAAUCACUGGGCGUAAAGCGUGUGUAGGCGGCGCAGUAAGUCAGAUGUGAAAGCCCUCGGCUCAACCGAGGAAGUGCAUCUGAUACUGCUGUGCUUGAAUCUCGGAGGGGGUGGCGGAAUUCCUGGUGUAGAGGUGAAAUUCGUAGAUAUCAGGAGGAACACCCGUGGCGAAGGCGGCCACCUGGACGAGUAUUGACGCUGAGACACGAAAGCGUGGGUAGCAAACAGGAUUAGAUA
RNAcentral lists this ribosomal RNA (279 nucleotides) under uncultured bacterium. RNAcentral's name for it is "partial 16S ribosomal RNA". It matches the Rfam family "Bacterial small subunit ribosomal RNA", at positions 506 to 784 of the family's 1533-position model. The record is from RNAcentral.